Molecule: long non-coding RNA, 500 nt
Filed under: Homo sapiens (human)
Lineage: Eukaryota; Metazoa; Chordata; Mammalia; Primates; Hominidae
Description: HSALNT0342265
Source: RNAcentral
AGCGACGGCGGUCUGCGGCUGUCGGUUCUGUUUGUUGCUGUCACUGCUGUUUGUUCUUGCCAGCGGCUAGGGUCUGGCUGUUUUGCCCAGAAUGGAGUGCAGUGGCGUGAUGGUCUCGGCUGACAGCAGCCUCGACCUCCUGGGCUCAAGCCUUGGCCUCCCAAAGUGCUGGGAUUACAGGUAUGAGCCACCAUGCCCGGCCCUCCCUUUCUUUUGUGUCUUUGGAUUUGUCUUUGUGGAGAGGGUACCAGCCACCAUCCUGUGAGGAAGCCCAGAGCACAUGAAGAGACCACCUGCACAUGUUCAGAUCCACUGCCCCAGCUAAGAUCUCCGCUGACAGCCAGACCAAUCACCAAUCUUAGGAGCUGGCGAGCCUUCAGAUGGUCCAACCUUUGAGGCCCCCCAGAGGAGCCAGGUGGAGCAUAGAUGAGCCAUCCAUGUGGAUCCCUCCACCAAAUGGAAGAUUUAGGAGCAAAAUAAACAAUGUUGUCAUUGCUUUC